AAAAAAAAACCUUGUAGAUCAUGCAUAUAAUAACUCAAUAACCGUGCAUCGGAUUAAAACAAACUUAACAUGAAAGUUGCUUAGAUUUUCGUCUAGUUUCAUAAUAUGCAACUUUCAUGCAUGUUUGAAAUGUUUAAAAUGCUGUUUUUUUAAAUUUGCCCCUAUGCCAUGUUAAAAUGCUUUACUUCAUAACUAAGCAACCGUAGCUCGGAAUCUAAUGAACUUUAUAUGUAAAUGGGGUAGAAAAAUGCCUAGUUUAACUUGGUGGCAUCACUUUGCAUGUUAAACAACUCUAAAAUAUGGUUUAGGGCAGAACAGUACCAUAACCAAAAUAUGCACAUGAGGAUUUUUCCGGACUUGUUGCUUGUUGUUCCGGCCUCAUUUAAACUUGCCUAGAUAGGUAGUUUUCAUUUGCUUCACCCUCUUGCCAUGUUUAACAACAUUUAAUAUUGUUGGGUACAUAAACAAGAUCGAACUAAAUAAGUCAUGUGGUGUUUUCUUUAAUAUGCAACUCCGUUGCAUAAUGAGCUCCACUUAAUUCGUAGGAUUGUUUGUGCACUUUGCCAUGCCAUGCUUCAUUAAACCGGACAUGCAUCAUACUCGAUUGUGCAUCAUGACAUGUUGAUGUGUUGGUUGUUUACUAUGUUGUUUGCUUCUUUCCGGUGUUGCUUCUUCGGGUUGGUUCUGAUAACGUCGUGUGUGUGAGGAUCCGUUCGACUACGUCUGUGUAUCUUCUUCAUGGACUCGUUCUUCUUCCUUGCGGGAUUUCAGGCAAGAUGACCAUACCCUCGAAAUCACUUCUAUCUUUGCUUGCUAGUUGCUCGCUCUUUUGCUAUGCCUAUGCUGCGAUACCUACCACUUGCUUAUCAUGCCUCCCAUAUUGUUAAACCAAGCCUCUAACCCACCUUGUCCUAGCAAACCAUUGUUUGGCUAUGUUACCGCUUUGCUCAGCCCCUCUUAUAGCAUUGUUAGUUGCAGGUGAAGAUUGAAGUUUGUUCCUUGUUGGAACAUGGAGAUGUUGUUCCUUGUUGGAACAUGGAUAUUUGUUGGGAUAUCACAAUAUCUCUUAUUUUAAUUAAUGCAUCUAUAUACUUGGUAAAGGGUGGAAGGCUCGGCCUUAUGCCUGGUGUUUUGUUCCACUCUUCCCGCCCUAGUUUUCGUCAUAUCGGUGUUAUGUUCCCGGAUUUUGUGUUCCUUACGCGGUUGGGUAAUAAUGGGAACCCCUUGACAGUUCGCCUUGAAUAAAACUCCUCCAGCAAGGCCCAACCUUGGUUUUACCAUUCGCCACCUAGCCUUUUUCCCUUGGGAGUCGCGCAUCCUAACGGUCAUCUUUAUUUUAACCCCCCCUCCGGGCCAGUGCUUGUCUAAGUGUUAGUCCGAACUAGAGUCCUUUGCAGCGCCACCUCGGGGAAACUUGAGGGCUAGUUUUAGUUGUACGGAGCGCUCAUCCGGUGUUUCCCUGAGAAUGAGAUAUGUGCAGCUCCUAUCAGGAUGUCGGCGCAUCGGGCGGUCUUGCUGGUCUUGUUUUUACCUGUCAAAAUGUCUUGUAACCGGCAUUCCGCGCCUGAUCGGGUCUUCCCGCUAGAAGGAAUAUCCUUCGUUGACCGUGAGAGCUUGUGAUGGGCUAAGUUGGGACACCCCUGCAGGGAUUUGAACUUUCGAAAGUCGUGCCCGCGGUUAUGGGUAGAUGGGAAUUUGUUAAUGUCCGGUUGUAGAAAACCUGAAGUUAACCUUAAUUAAAAUACAUCAACCGCGUGUGUUACCGUGAUGUUCUCUUCUCGGCGGAGUCCGGGAAGUGAACACGGUGUUGGAGUUAUGAUUGACGUAGGUUGUUCUAGGAUCACUUCUUGAUCAUAGUUGUUUGACCGUGCUUUUGCCUUCUCUUCUCGCUCUCUUUUGUGAAUAAGUUAGCCACCAUAUAAGCUAGUCGCUUGCUGCAACUCCACCUCAUACCUUUACCUUACCCAUAAGCUUAAAUUAGUCUUGAUCGCGAGGGUGUGAGAUUGCUGAGUCCCCGUGACUCACAGAUACUUCCAAAACCAGCUUGCAGGUGCCGAUGAGUCCGUGCAAAUGACGCAACCAAGCUCAAGAGGAGCUCGAUGAAUAUCUUGUCCUUUGUGUUGUUUCGUUCUAGUUGAUCAGUAGUGGAGCCCAGUUGGGGUCGAUCGGGGACCUUGUCACAUUUGGGGUUCUUAUUUUAUUUUGGUUCAGUAGUCGGACCUUGAUUGUUUUUUUUAUGUUGUAAUGCUUUAUUCAUGUAAUUGUGUGAAGUGGCGAUUGUAAGCCAACUAUGUAUCUUUUACCCUAUUGUAUUACAUGGGUUGUUUGUGAAGAUUACCUCACUUGCGACAUUGCUUUCAAUGCGGUUAUGCCUCUAAGUCGUGCUUCGACACGUGGGAGAUAUAGCCGCAUAGAAGGCGUUAUAG
Molecule: long non-coding RNA, 2426 nt
Filed under: Triticum aestivum (bread wheat)
Lineage: Eukaryota; Viridiplantae; Streptophyta; Magnoliopsida; Poales; Poaceae
Description: long non-coding RNA (TAES_LNC001814)
Source: RNAcentral